RNAcentral lists this ribosomal RNA (404 nucleotides) under uncultured bacterium. RNAcentral's name for it is "bacterial SSU rRNA". It matches the Rfam family "Bacterial small subunit ribosomal RNA", at positions 355 to 775 of the family's 1533-position model. The record is from RNAcentral.
UGAGGAAUAUUGCACAAUGGGCGCAAGCCUGAUGCAGCAAUGCCGCGUGAGGGACGAAGGCCUUCGGGUCGUAAACCUCUUUUCUGGGGGACGAGUAAGGACGGUACCCCAGGAAUAAGUCUCGGCUAACUACGUGCCAGCAGCCGCGGUAAAACGUAGGAGGCGAGCGUUAUCCGGAUUUACUGGGCGUAAAGCGUACGCAGGUGGCUUCGUUAGUCGGACACGAAAGCUCCUGGCUUAACUGGGAGAGGUUGUUCGAUACUGCGGGGCUUGAGGCUGGGAGAGGGACGUGGAAUUCCCGGUGUAGUGGUGGAAUGCGUAGAUAUCGGGAGGAACACCAGUGGCGCAAGCGGCGUCCUGGCCCACACCUGACGCUGAGGUACGAAAGCGUGGGUAGCAAACAG